UGCACGUUGUUUCUUCUGGUAUUGAGAACUGAAUACAUUUGAAAGGAUGUACAAAGGGAUAUUCCUCUGCGUAUUCCUUGCUGCAAUCUGUGCAAAUGCACUGGCACAGCCCACAGGCUUUGCAGAUGCAGAUGAAGAAAGCCACGAGCGAUACAUCCGAGGAAUGGCAACUAAAGCUGGAACGGCGUUUGGAAAAGCUGCAAAAGCUAUUAUUGGUGCUGCUCUGGGACGUCGCAGUGCUCUGGAACUUGAGGAUCUCAUUCCAGUUAAAAGAAUGGCUCAAAUUGAUUAAACCAGGAAAUUAAAUGGCCAGGUCGGAUUUUUGCUCUACUGAAGACUAAUAUGAAUGUCUGCAAUGCGCCAAACCUAUAAAAAUAUACUUCUGUUGUGAAAUGCUGAAAAUAAAACGACCUAUAUGCAUGUAUUCACCAUUUGUUUUACUUUAUUGUCUAUCUAUUGUCUCUCAAUUUCCACUGAACCUAUUAUACCAUUAUCUAUUUAGUUUUUAUUGUGCCUUUACAGUGCAGUCUCAGGCAGUUACCAUGACAGUCCUGUCAGUGAAAGAAAAUGAAU
This is an RNA transcript of Xenopus tropicalis (tropical clawed frog), 573 nucleotides long. It is a transcript of the gene named PYLa/PGLa gene 5, with no coding region annotated. The transcript has 6 exons. NCBI's taxonomy places the organism in Eukaryota, Metazoa, Chordata, Amphibia, Anura, Pipidae. The record is from RefSeq and is a predicted model, not a curated record.